Molecule: unclassified non-coding RNA, 240 nt
Filed under: soil metagenome
Description: partial contains 5.8S ribosomal RNA, internal transcribed spacer 2, and large subunit ribosomal RNA
Source: RNAcentral
AACCUAGCACACCUGCGGUGUGUACCUGCGGAAGGAUCAUUAACCUUUCAAAUCAGGGUGCGGCGCGGCCCCCGAGGAGCGGAAACAAUCCUUGGGAGGUAUGCGGGGGCUUCGAGCCCCCCAUUUACGCACGCACGACUGCCAUCCUUACUUUACGAGCACCUUCUGUUCUCCCUCGGCGGGGCAACCUGCCGUUGGAACCGAAUAAACUCUUUUUGCAUCUAGCAUUUCCUGUUCCGA